Molecule: ribosomal RNA, 484 nt
Filed under: uncultured bacterium
Lineage: Bacteria
Description: partial 16S ribosomal RNA
Rfam family: Bacterial small subunit ribosomal RNA
Source: RNAcentral
CUUGAACGCUGGCGGCAGGCCUAACACAUGCAAGUCGCGCGGAUGCACUGAGCUUGCUCCUGGAUUCCGCGGCGGACGGGUGAGUAAUGCCUACGAAUCUGCCUGUUAGUGGGGUCUAACGUCCGGAAACGGGCGCUCAUACCGCAUACGUCCUGAGGGUGCCCGAGGGGGAUCUUCGGACCUCACGCUAUCAGAUGAGCCUAGGUCGGAUUAGCUAGUUGGUGGGGUAAAGGCCUACCAAGGCGACGAUCCGUAACUGGUAUGAGAGGAUGAUCAGUCACACUGGAACUGAGACACGGUCCAAACUCCUACGGGAGGCAGCAGUGGGGAAUAUUGGACCAUGGGCGGAAGCCUGAUCCAGCCGUGACGCGUGUGAGAAGAAGGUCUGCGGAUUGUAAAGCACUUUAAGUUGGGGGGAAGGGCAGUAAGUUAAGACCUGGCUGUUUUGACGUUACCAACAGAAUAAGCACCGGGUAAGGUCGUG